RNAcentral lists this ribosomal RNA (1150 nucleotides) under Juglanconis oblonga. Its description in RNAcentral is "partial large subunit ribosomal RNA". It matches the Rfam family "Eukaryotic large subunit ribosomal RNA", at positions 131 to 1307 of the family's 3401-position model. The record is from RNAcentral. Lineage: Eukaryota; Fungi; Ascomycota; Sordariomycetes; Diaporthales; Juglanconidaceae.
CUUCGGCCCGAGUUGUAAUUUGCAGAGGAUGUUUUUGGCGCGGUGCCUUCCGAGUUCCCUGGAACGGGACGCCACAGAGGGUGAGAGCCCCGUAUGGUUGGACACCAAGCCUGUGUAAAACUCCUUCGACGAGUCGAGUAGUUUGGGAAUGCUGCUCUAAAUGGGAGGUAAAUCUCUUCUAAAGCUAAAUACCGGCCAGAGACCGAUAGCGCACAAGUAGAGUGAUCGAAAGAUGAAAAGCACCUUGAAAAGGGGGUUAAACAGUACGUGAAAUUGUUGAAAGGGAAGCGCUCAUGACCAGACUUGUGCCGUGCGGCUCAUCCGGGGUUCUCCCCGGUGCACUCCGCACGGCUCAGGCCAGCAUCGGUUCUCGUUGGGGGAUAAGAACAGUAGGAACGUGGCCCCCCUCGGGGGGUGUUAUAGCCUAUUGUACGAUACCCUGGCGGGGACCGAGGACCGCGCUUCGGCAAGGAUGCUGGCGUAAUGGUCAUCAGCGACCCGUCUUGAAACACGGACCAAGGAGUCGUCCAUUAGAGCGAGCGUUUGGGUGUAAAACCCGCACGCGUAAUGAAAGUGAAAUUAGGUGAGAGCUUCGGCGCAUCAUCGACCGAUCCUGAUGUUCUCGGAUGGAUUUGAGUAAGAGUUUUAACGGACGGACCCGAAAGACAGUGAACUAUGCUUGUAUAGGGUGAAGCCAGAGGAAACUCUGGUGGAGGCUCGCAGCGGUUCUGACGUGCAAAUCGAUCGUCAAAUAUGAGCAUGGGGGCGAAAGACUAAUCGAACUGUCUAGUAGCUGGUUACCGCCGAAGUUUCCCUCAGGAUAGCAGUGUUGACCUUCAGUUUUAUGAGGUAAAGCGAAUGAUUAGGGACUCGGGGGCGCUUAUUAGCCUUCAUCCAUUCUCAAACUUUAAAUAUGUAAGAAGCCCUUGUUACUUAAUUGAACGUGGGCAUUCGAAUGUACCAACACUAGUGGGCCAUUUUUGGUAAGCAGAACUGGCGAUGCGGGAUGAACCGAACGCGGGGUUAAGGCGCCAGAGUGUACGCUCAUCAGACACCACAAAAGGCGUUAGUACAUCUUGACAGCAGGACGGUGGCCAUGGAAGUCGGAAUCCGCUAAGGACUGUGUAACAACUCACCUGCCGAAUGUACU